UAAAAAAAAAAAAAAACUAUUUUCUCAUAAUACUGCAAUUAUAGUAUUGAUGUCUGCUAUAAGUGAUCAAUUAAUUGGAGGAAUAUGUAUUUACUUUGACAGCAAUAACGGAUCAUGAUUGUUACACAGAGACACAUUCUUUAUAUGAAUAUGUUGCUAAGUGCUGGAGUUUGAUGGUGGAAACUUAAAUAGAUAGUGGGUUGGGGGUGGGAGUAGGAUCUGUUACCCGUUGUAAAUAUGAUUUUGCACUGCCUUCUCAAAAAGUUCUUUUGAGACACUGGCAUUGGAAAUGAUACCUUUCUACGAAUUCAUAUCGUAGGGAUUUAAUUAGCUUACUUGCCAUGUUUAUUUUUUGAGCUGGCUUUAUGAAGUAGUUGAGAUGAUGGAAUAGAACAGGUCAUAUUACAAGCAAUUAAUCUCCUCCCUCAACUCACUGGUGCAUUGUCGUACUUGGACAGGUAUUGGAGGAAAAUCUUGACUGGGAGGACGUGCAAUGGUCUCAAACUGGCGUUAGGAUUGCUGGGAAGGAAUACACCCUUGCAAGGGUGCAUUUUCUGUCUCCAAAUUAGCCGUAUCUUGUUUCUUAU
RNAcentral lists this unclassified non-coding RNA (587 nucleotides) under Hevea brasiliensis (rubber tree). Lineage: Eukaryota; Viridiplantae; Streptophyta; Magnoliopsida; Malpighiales; Euphorbiaceae. The record is from RNAcentral.